CUACCCUUGACAUGGUCGGAACCCUGCUGAAAGGUGGGGGUGCUCGAAAGAGAACCGAUACACAGGUGCUGCAUGGCUGUCGUCAGCUCGUGUCGUGAGAUGUUGGGUUAAGUCCCGCAACGAGCGCAACCCUUGUCCCUAGUUGCUACGCAAGAGCACUCUAGGGAGACUGCCGGUGACAAACCGGAGGAAGGUGGGGAUGACGUCAAGUCCUCAUGGCCCUUAUGGGUAGGGCUUCACACGUCAUACAAUGGUCGGAACAGAGGGUCGCCAACCCGCGAGGGGGAGCCAAUCCCAGAAAACCGAUCGUAGUCCGGAUCGCACUCUGCAACUCGAGUGCGUGAAGCUGGAAUCGCUAGUAAUCGCGGAUCAGCAUGCCGCGGUGAAUACGUUCCC
RNAcentral lists this ribosomal RNA (396 nucleotides) under uncultured Burkholderia sp. RNAcentral's name for it is "bacterial SSU rRNA". It matches the Rfam family "Bacterial small subunit ribosomal RNA", at positions 975 to 1375 of the family's 1533-position model. Lineage: Bacteria; Pseudomonadati; Pseudomonadota; Betaproteobacteria; Burkholderiales; Burkholderiaceae. The record is from RNAcentral.